Molecule: non-coding RNA, 107 nt
Organism: Gossypium hirsutum (cotton)
Lineage: Eukaryota; Viridiplantae; Streptophyta; Magnoliopsida; Malvales; Malvaceae
Source: Rfam
AUCCAAUGAUGAGGACACUUACGAAAUAAAUCCUUGAAUCUCUCCUAAGCCUCAUACAAAGACUCAUCAUCUAAUUGUUGGAAUGUUGUGAUCUCGUUCCUCAACUU